UGCCAACCCAAAUCAUUGCAUGAUUCUGUGAGUGUCCCAAUAUCUGACUCAAUCACCCCAGUGAGCAGGCUUGGCAUGCACAGGCGUCUGGGAAGGGACCUGACCCACACAGCUGAUAUGAGAUGACCAAUGGGAUAUGCCUUUCUCUACAAUGUGCCCAGCAGUAAAAGCUGCAGGAAAUGGAGGAGAAAGAAGGAAUGUCUAUGGCUGUGGUGUUUGUCUUCUCGAGUAAUCAUUAAGCAUGAUGCAGCCAUGCUUUCCUGGAAGUGCUGAUAUCUGCCUGCCAGUAACAAGUAAUGAUUAAUUCCUUGCUUCACUUUUCUUGUGUGUCAAGUAUUUGUUUUACCUAUUUAAAUGCCUUUCUAUUAACCACGAAUUUUCAGUUUUUCUCUUUUGAUUCUCUCACACUGAAGAGGAAAUAACCCAGCAGCUGGGUAGGCUUAGUUGCUGGUUGCAAUCAGUUCACAUGUGAGGCACUUGCUUUUUUUGAAAAUUAAUUUGCAGAAAAUACUCAGUACAAUUUUAAUUAAUUAGUUGUUUUUUUGUUUUUUCUUUCCAACUUCAGGUAAUGAAAAUGCCUUCUAAUCCUGCACCACUACAAACUUGUGCUGUAAGCAUUCAGACAGCUGCUACAUUGAACAUACUGAGAAGUUCAGCCAUUUUCAGGUAUUGAUUCACACUAUAGUAGACAUCGUACACUACAGAAACAACAGAACAAACAUUGUCAGCAGAUCAGCUGAAGCUUGUCAUGGUUCCUGUUGCUUCUUAUAAUGCUGUUUCAUACAACAAGGCUUUAUGAGAAAUCUGCAGGUCCUGAGUGUGUCCUGUGGUACUGUGUACCUUUGCUACUCUGAGCAGUUCUGGCUGAGAAUUUCUGGAUGUAUCAUGAUGGAAUGCAAGCUGUGGAAGAUAAAUCGUUCCUCAGCUUCAAACUCCACUGCUUCCUCACUGCAACUAUAAGCUUAGAAGAGGUAAUCAGCAUGUGGUUUCAAGUGUUGCAUUUUCGGGGUAAUUUCACUUCUCCCUGUUUCAGUGCAGGUCAUUCAAUAGACAUUUCUUGUAAGUUUUUUAUCAUGGCAGUUCUAGUGUUCUAUGCAGCCCCUCACCAAUUUAACUUUAUUAGGAGGAUUUUGAAGGCAAAAUAA
Molecule: long non-coding RNA, 1145 nt
Filed under: Parus major (Great Tit)
Lineage: Eukaryota; Metazoa; Chordata; Aves; Passeriformes; Paridae
Description: lncRNA (ENSPMJG00000014348.1)
Source: RNAcentral